RNAcentral lists this ribosomal RNA (460 nucleotides) under uncultured bacterium. Its description in RNAcentral is "partial 16S ribosomal RNA". It matches the Rfam family "Bacterial small subunit ribosomal RNA", at positions 338 to 795 of the family's 1533-position model. The record is from RNAcentral.
CCUACGGGGAGCAGCAGUGAGGAAUAUUGGUCAAUGGACGAGAGUCUGAACCAGCCAAGUAGCGUGAAGGAUGACUGCCCUAUGGGUUGUAAACUUCUUUUAUAUGGGAAUAAAAUGUUCCACGUGUGGGCUUUUGUAUGUACCAUAUGAAUAAGGAUCGGCUAACUCCGUGCCAGCAGCCGCGGUAAUACGGAGGAUCCGAGCGUUAUCCGGAUUUAUUGGGUUUAAAGGGAGCGUAGGUGGAUUGUUAAGUCAGUUGUGAAAGUUUGCGGCUCAACCGUAAAAUUGCAGUUGAAACUGGCAGUCUUGAGUACAGUAGAGGUGGGCGGAAUUCGUGGUGUAGCGGUGAAAUGCUUAGAUAUCACGAAGAACUCCGAUUGCGAAGGCAGCUCACUGGACUGCAACUGACACUGAGGCUCGAAAGUGUGGGUAUCAAACAGGAUUAGAUACCCGAGUAGUC